GCCGAGGUGGCGGAAUUGGCAGACGCGCCGGUCUCAAAAACCGGUGGGGGCAACUCCAUGCGGGUUCGAUUCCCGCCUUCGGCA
This 84-nucleotide transfer RNA is filed under the name Candidatus Omnitrophota bacterium. Its description in RNAcentral is "Candidatus Omnitrophica bacterium tRNA-Leu". It matches the Rfam family "tRNA". From Rfam's summary of the family: Transfer RNA (tRNA) molecules are approximately 80 nucleotides in length. Their secondary structure includes four short double-helical elements and three loops (D, anti-codon, and T loops). Further hydrogen bonds mediate the characteristic L-shaped molecular structure. tRNAs have two regions of fundamental functional importance: the anti-codon, which is responsible for specific mRNA codon recognition, and the 3' end, to which the tRNAs corresponding amino acid is attached (by aminoacyl-tRNA synthetases). tRNAs cope with the degeneracy of the genetic code in two manners: having more than one tRNA (with a specific anti-codon) for a particular amino acid; and 'wobble' base-pairing, i.e. permitting non-standard base-pairing at the 3rd anti-codon position. Lineage: Bacteria; Pseudomonadati; Candidatus Omnitrophota. The record is from RNAcentral.